This 73-nucleotide transfer RNA is filed under the name Felis catus (domestic cat). It matches the Rfam family "tRNA". From Rfam's summary of the family: Transfer RNA (tRNA) molecules are approximately 80 nucleotides in length. The record is from Rfam by way of RNAcentral. Lineage: Eukaryota; Metazoa; Chordata; Mammalia; Carnivora; Felidae.
GCCCGGCUGGCUCAGCCACUAGAGCGCGUGACUCUCAAUCCUGGGGUUGUGAGUUUGAGCCCCGCGCUGGGUG